Molecule: ribosomal RNA, 813 nt
Filed under: Bacillus velezensis
Lineage: Bacteria; Bacillati; Bacillota; Bacilli; Caryophanales; Bacillaceae
Also listed under: 1 other name
Description: bacterial SSU rRNA
Rfam family: Bacterial small subunit ribosomal RNA
Source: RNAcentral
CCGCGUGAGUGAUGAAGGUUUUCGGAUCGUAAAGCUCUGUUGUUAGGGAAGAACAAGUGCCGUUCAAAUAGGGCGGCACCUUGACGGUACCUAACCAGAAAGCCACGGCUAACUACGUGCCAGCAGCCGCGGUAAUACGUAGGUGGCAAGCGUUGUCCGGAAUUAUUGGGCGUAAAGGGCUCGCAGGCGGUUUCUUAAGUCUGAUGUGAAAGCCCCCGGCUCAACCGGGGAGGGUCAUUGGAAACUGGGGAACUUGAGUGCAGAAGAGGAGAGUGGAAUUCCACGUGUAGCGGUGAAAUGCGUAGAGAUGUGGAGGAACACCAGUGGCGAAGGCGACUCUCUGGUCUGUAACUGACGCUGAGGAGCGAAAGCGUGGGGAGCGAACAGGAUUAGAUACCCUGGUAGUCCACGCCGUAAACGAUGAGUGCUAAGUGUUAGGGGGUUUCCGCCCCUUAGUGCUGCAGCUAACGCAUUAAGCACUCCGCCUGGGGAGUACGGUCGCAAGACUGAAACUCAAAGGAAUUGACGGGGGCCCGCACAAGCGGUGGAGCAUGUGGUUUAAUUCGAAGCAACGCGAAGAACCUUACCAGGUCUUGACAUCCUCUGACAAUCCUAGAGAUAGGACGUCCCCUUCGGGGGCAGAGUGACAGGUGGUGCAUGGUUGUCGUCAGCUCGUGUCGUGAGAUGUUGGGUUAAGUCCCGCAACGAGCGCAACCCUUGAUCUUAGUUGCCAGCAUUCAGUUGGGCACUCUAAGGUGACUGCCGGUGACAACCGGAGGAAGGUGGGGAUGACGUCAAAUCAUCAUGCCCCUU